UGGCAGCUUGACUGGAUGGUUUAAUGAGCUAAAUUGCAGGCUGGAGCUCUUUUGCUUCUGCUCAUGUGGCAAGAAUAACACAAGGAAAGUCCAACAAGGAGAUGCACUGCAGAGCUCAGCAAACACCAUGUUCACCUACGUAAGUUGUUGCUGUACAGAUGUUACCUCAUCCACACCUGAACUGCAGAUAACGCGCCUCCAUAUAAGUAAUUAUUGUGCUGAUUGCAUGGCUGGUCAGAGACUUCACACGGGCAGUUUCCACACAGCAGGUAAUCAGCUAUAACUUGCUGGGCUGUGCAGCUAGAUUACCAAUUACCUGUUUCUCAGCUCAUUUCAUGAUCUCAGUGCAGAGAUUGAGUGCUAGCUGAGAGUGCAGGAUCUAGGCUAAAGCACAGUGAAAUGGGACUUGGCAACUGAAUGCAUGUAAGGUUCUUUUUUGUAGAGCUAAAAAUGUGUUAUAAGAAGGUAGAGAAUACACUGGAAUCCCUGCCUAUGUACAGCAUAAAGUAGGAAGAUGACUGUAGAAUCAGGGUCUGGGUUAUGAAAGGGAGAAUAUAUGAUAAAAGAGUGAGGGAAGAAAACACUUCAUGCUCAGGUACUGCCACUGGGCAAACGGAGUUUUAGAAUCCCUUACAUAGGCCUUGCAUGCUUGCUUUCUUGCUGAAGACCCUUUAUACAUACAGGGCAUCAUUCAUCCGUUUGCCACUCAUCCUAUGCAUAAUUCUGCAACUUCUGUAAGUCAACAGUUUAACAACUUCAGUGGAAAAUUCACAAAAGAAAAAAUGAGCCUGUGCUGCCAUGGUGUUCAGUCACCUUGGCUAGCUAUACCUUCCGAGAAAGCAACACUUUCUCAGUGUUGAUGAGGGGCAUGGGACACCACACAAUUACACCUUAAAACAGUGUAACCAAAGAGCUAGGAUGCUGUGUAAUGAUGUCUACUGUUUUUCACCACAGUUUGUAACGGUGAAGUUCCAAUGGGGGAAGCAGUUCCCCACCCUUAGCCCACAGGUUUGAUACUAUAGAAAUUUAAGACUGUUAUAUAUCACAUGAUCACUGAAAAAAUGCAGAUUGAAAAUAUGCAAGGAAAGAGAAGAAAAGAGAAGGAGAGAAAAAGAACAAAGAACUGUGGCAUGGGAGCAGAAGUGCUUUUCAGUCUAGAUUAUUUCACUGCUUGAGGUUACAGAACAACACGUUUAUACUAACAAUAAAAAGAGACAGAGGAUUAGAAUAACUGCA
Molecule: long non-coding RNA, 1236 nt
Filed under: Anser brachyrhynchus (Pink-footed goose)
Lineage: Eukaryota; Metazoa; Chordata; Aves; Anseriformes; Anatidae
Description: lncRNA (ENSABRG00000006139.1)
Source: RNAcentral